Molecule: long non-coding RNA, 24924 nt
Filed under: Ananas comosus (pineapple)
Lineage: Eukaryota; Viridiplantae; Streptophyta; Magnoliopsida; Poales; Bromeliaceae
Description: long non-coding RNA (ACOM_LNC044602)
Source: RNAcentral
UUUCUCUCUCUAGAAGAUAAGAAGAAGAAGAAAGGAAAGGGAAGAAAAAGAAGAAGAAGGAGGUCUUCCUCAUCUUCCUCAUUUUCUCCUUGGUUGGAUCUUCUUGGAGAGGUAAGCUUCUAAGCUCUCUCUCAUGGUGGAUUUCUGGAGAUAGAUUUGAUUGCUCUAGAAAUGGAGUUUUGUAUUAUGUGAGGGCGUAGUACCUGCCAGUACAGGUAUAAAGCCAGAUGGCACUAGCGAAGUGUUAGAAGUAAUCUAUGGCGAGAAGUGAGACUCGCGGUAAAGAUAAAAGUGUCGAAAUGACUCUCAGAGCAAUAUGAGUAGUAAAUUGCGAGAGUCGAGCCAUAAUGCCUAUGGGCACCCAAGUAGUCCGAAAAUGUCGGAUGUCAUUCUGGUAGAUCGAACAGUGAAAGUAGCAUCACUGUUGAGAGAACGGUUGAUUAGUGGCCAAGUUUGAGCACGUGGGCCUAGUAGUACCUCAAGGUGAGGUAGGCGGUUGUGCUCGUGCGGCCAGUGUGCAUAGGCAAGAUUGCCUAAUGUUGGAUUUUGUGUGAAAUGCUGUAGAGGCGUAGAGCGCUCGAGUGUAGAUACCUGUAGAGUGCGGAUGUGGAUUCAGCUGAGACAGUGUACUGGCAGUAGCACUUGAGCAUUGCUAGGUGUGAAGCGUGCCAUGGAUCACUCGUGGGACUGGUGACUCGCAUUAGGUGCAUAGUAGCCGGUAGUGAUACGUGUGACUCGGUAGAGCAUAUCGUGUAGGACGACGACGGCGGGUAGUGCUUGGGGGACGACCCGUGCCUGGACCGUUUGUGGACUGUGGAGCCUCGGCCCAUUGGGCAGGCGCAGUCAGCUGCGAGUGACAAUGGCCCGGUACCUACGGGUAGGGCGGAGUUCUGGUCAGGACGGUAGUCCGAGCUUAAACCCGGGAGCGUAGAAUGCUACGUGAUAGAUUGUGUGACCGAUGGUACACCGAGUAUGGUUGUGACCCAACCCGAGGACAUGACGUGGUUUGGGGCCUUAGUUGCUCCUGGUUGGAGUGUGUGCGAAUUCCCAAGUGAGAAUUUCGCCCGAUCAAGAUUGGGCCUGCAUUUGCGAGCGAGAGACACUGCGUAUUGAGACAGGUUUAGGUGGUAGGCCUACGUAGGAUUGGUGGCCUGUGGUCCACCUGUGGAGACCGAAGAGAGCGAUUUGGCGGAUAGCCUUAUCGAGAAAUUCGACUCGAAUUCACGAACGAAGCGCUCGUGUGAGCUCGUUGCGAAAAUAGUUUGAUGUUAAUCGUGGCAUGUGGUAUCAGAUGAUGAAGUACUCAUUGUGAGACAUCAAACGAGUGGAAAGCCACGUGAUGUUGGAGAUUAUGCCCGUAAGCGAACUAAGACUUGAGAGGUGCCGAAGUGGGCCAUCUCACGUUAAAGUUAAUGGUCAGUGCGAAAUUAGAGCACUCAUAACGGAGUGAUGCAUCGGUGAUAUUGCUCCUAAGCAAUGUCGGUGAUCGAAUCAGAAUGUAUUCCCUUAAGGGAAGGUAAGUGCAAAGAAGAGUUCUUUGUAUACCGAAUGGCGAGUGGUGUUGGAGCACGUAGAGUCGUCGAGUACCGACUUGCGCUGCCACUAUGACUUGCAAGACCCGUGAUGCACUUUUGUAUCACACCUUGCAAAUGUGUUUAGGGUUAAACCACGUCCUUCAGUGUGAGCCGCUUCUGGAACACGAUUGUGUGAAGCCGUUUAGUGGGGGAAUGAGUUGGGUACCCUCAAUUGCUCAUGGAGCUGAAUUGAGCGUGAUUGAAUUUCGCGGACGAAAUUCGUUAAGGGGUGGAGAAUGUAACAUACCAAAUUUUGGUAUAAAAAUAAAAAUAAAUAAAAAAAUAGUGUGAGAAACUAUUUUUAUUGGAUUUAUAGAAGUAAAACAUAAGUCAGAAGUGACUUGUGCUGAAAAUCGGAAUGAAAACAGAAGAUUUAGAAUUUUCUGUUGGAAACGGGACAGAUAAAUUAGCCAGAAAAUGCACAGUCUCAAAAUUAUAAAAUUGGAGGAUUAAUCAGAAAUUAUUUUUAUGAGGCUAGAUUAAAGUUCAUAUUUUUCUGACACCCGUAGAGUGAGAAAUAAAAUCCGAAAGCUAUCUGAUAAAGAUUGCAGUUCGGUACAGUUUUCAGUGACCAAACGGGGUCGAAACUGAACCAGUGAUCGUCAGCUUGUUAAGUUAAGUAAAACCGAACAUGACUGUCAAGUUUGAGCUCAAACGGACACUCAGGAGCUCCGCGCGAAAGUUAUCAAUAUCAAGCUGCCGGGAUGAAUAGUGUUGGGGUGUAAUUAAAUAGGAGCUCUGGUCUUUUCCCCACAGCCCACACACACCCACGGGUCACACACGCACACACGCUUGGAGAGGGAGAAAGAGGAACUCCAUUUCUCUCUAAAUCUCUCCCAAAAAUGGAGGUUUUGUGGAGAAGUAAGCUUGGAAGUUGAUCUUCAUCUUCUUCGUCUUCUUCCUCUCCAUUGGAGCAAGCUUUGAAGUAAGCUUUCAAACCUUUAAUGGCAUUUCUCUCUAGUUGAUUUUUAAGCUCUAAGAGUGAUUUGAGGUAUUCUAGCAUGCUAAUUAAGGUUUGAUGCUAAACCAAGGCUCUAAUGGUGGAUUUUACCUAGUUGUAAUCUAGGGCUCGAAAAUACUAAUUUGUAAAUAUGAGGGUUUGAUCUCAUUUGCCCUCUGUAAACCUAAUUGCUAGGUAGAACGAACGCUGUUGGCGAAGAACGGUUCGCAAUCCGACGAGCCGUUACAAAGUUAUUAAGAAAAAUUGAACGUUUAGGCUUCGGGUCCGCCGGGAGGGCCGCGGCGAUAUCGUAAAUUCAUUGAAAAUGGAUUUGAAGGUCAUGUGGCACAUAACGAGACCUUUAAUUUUCGGAUCGUGAAUUGGAGGCGUUCGGGUGGUCGCGUGAAAAUCGGGCCAAAUCGGGCCGGGUGCCCGGGGAGGCAUUGCAAGUGUCGCAAGCAAUCGGAAUGCGAAAUAAGGUGGGUUGUGCUACCGAAGCGACUAGGGUCGCCCUUUAUGUCUAAAGAAAUGAGACUUCAAUAUUGAUGCUAUUGACAUAAUGUAAGAAUGUGAAAGAGAUGCAUGUUAACAUUACUAUAGAAAUGCUAGAUAAAUGCAUAUGAUUAAUACUUUGAAUGCAUAUGAAUUAAGUGCUAAAAGAAUGCAUGAGAUGCAAGUAUGGACUAAUUUUGGAUAAUGACUAUAUUAUGUUGACAAAUCAUGUGAUGCUAGUUAUAUAUGCAUGAUGAUAUAUUAUGAUUUACAUAUUGUGGAUUAUGUAUAAAUAGAAAACAUACUUGAUGACAUAUUGCCAUGUUGUGGAACAUAGUGGAACAACUCUAUAUAUAUAGAUCGAGUGGCAUUAAAACCUAGCAUCUUGAACCUAGCAAACACUUGUGGUGAUUGAGCAUGUUUAUUUUGGUGUCUUCAUGUAUGUUAGGACCCUAUUAUUUUGUGAAUGUGAGAGUCGGACUUGACAAUAGUAAACAAGGGUGACAUGAAAUAAGACAUGAUUGGCAUCAAAAAGUGUGUUAAAUAGUUUAACCAUAUUGACAUUGGUCCAAGUUGACAUAGAGAGUGGCAUGAUUAAAUAGGUAGAAAACCUAUUAUGACAUUUACAUUGUGACUAGUGGCUAUGAAUCCUCAAGUUGAGGAUUGAAUCGAUACUCACGUUACGUCUUGGCUUGAGGAGGUAGCUCCCCUCGGGCGGUGCGCUCCGGAGUUGGUCACCACUGGGCUGGUAAAGUUCCCCCAGAUGACGUCCCCAGGGAGGUCGAGUCCCGUUAUUAAGGGAUUUGGUAGUAGUUAUUGGGUUAACAUGGUUAACCGGUAAGAUUGGUUAUAGCCAAUGAGUUUACAACAAGUUAUGCAUUAUGAGUUAUGGAUUUGUAUCCUAGUCGAGAGGAUCUAGGGCUGAGGUUAUGUGAGACGUCCAUCGCCUCGAGCACUGUUCUUGGUGCGUACUUCCGCAGACGAUUGACUCAAGACCGAGUCGGGUGGUUAGCCUCUGUAAAGGUAGAUGGAACUUUAUGUAAUUAAAAACGGUGAUUGACAGAAUCUAUGAUAAAGGAAACCUGGAUAUCAAACGGAUGAACUAUGGUUAGCAAAAGUAAAGUAGUAUCGACAUGAACUACUAGUUGGUUGCAUAGUUGCAUUAUUGCAUGAUUUGCAUAUAGUAUUGCAUUAUUGCAUUCGUGAGGCAAAGCAUGAUUUUAUUAGAUUGCAUAAUAAAGAUAUAUAUCUAUCUGUUUAUUGAACUAACUUGCAGUUGCCUCCCUUCGACCUAUUGGUCGAGCUCUUCCCUUGGGUGGCCGUACCCACUGGAAACCAUGGAGUUGGUUCUCACCCCACGUGGUUUUGGGGUUUUUACAGGUUCGCACGUGAGCGGCGCGGCGGCGCGAGGCGAGGGCGUAGCUCCAUAGUUAGCGCCUUACCACUGAGACCAGAGAUAGUGAUACCCUGAGUCGGCCUUACUUAGGGAUGUAAAGAAUGAAAGAAUCAAGUUGUAAUAAUUAUAUUAAAUCGGAUUGUAUUUGGAAGUUAAAUGUAAUAAGUAUUUGGGAUGUAAAAUGUAUGAAUGUGAAUGCAUGUAAUAACAUAGGAUGUGUUAUGUUGUUUGAUACCUUCCAUUAUGCAAUCUUGAUUGAAAUGUGUUCCUGGUUGGAACUUCGUACAUUGUGUUGAUUGCUAUGCCUUGAACGUACAGGGGAGACUCUGUCCGCAGUACAGGGAAAACCCUGUCCGUUCGGCGAUCUGUUGGCGGCGCCGCGACCCGGCCAAAUAGGCGGGCGGUCGCGGGGCGUGACAAACAUGCAAAGAGUAAAGCACACGAUUGCUAAAGAUAGCCAAAAGUAAAGAAAUGUAAAGACCAUGAUUGCUAGAGCAGCAACAUAAAGUGAUGAAAAGAACACUAGAGUUAGUGUAAUGACAUGAUUGAACUCAUAAUCCUUAGAGUUAAGGAUUCGAUCAUACUUGCUAUGAGUUCCGUGCUCGAGGGCGGUCGCUCUCCCUCGGGCGAUGCACUCCGGAGUUUUUGCAUCACGGGUUGGAGUAAACCCGAGGACGGUCUUAGCGGAAGGAAGCUGAGGGCCCGCGAUGAUGGACUUAAUGUGAAGCAAGUUAAUGUGGCGAAACCCCCGGGUUAGCCGUGAGAUUAAAGAACAAAGAACAAAGAACAAAGAACAAAGUUUAAAGAAUAAAGAGUAAAGAACAAAGAACUUACAUAAUCUGCAUAAGUUUAUGUUGAGCAUACUUCUUGCUUUAUUGUUCAGCCAUAUUAGCAUCAUGUUAUAGAUUGGUUACUAUAUUCAGCUUAUCCUUUCUAUUAUGCCUGAGUCAGUCCUAGUGGGAAAGUCGGUGAUGUUGGGGCCAAACCACUGGAAACUUUGUUGUAGUUCUCACCCCACUAUUCCACAGAGCCGGGACCGAGCGAGCCGGCGAGCGACCGCGGUAAAGGUAUCGCACCAUAGUCAGAGGCCACCAGAGUUCGGUUAUUACAUUUUGUUACUAGUUUACCCUUUUAUCAUCUUUUGUAUUUGAUGAUUUAAGAUGUUAAUGUAUAAAACAAAGAAAGAAAAGAAUGUAAUGUUUAUUUGGAGCAAAUGUGAUGUAAAAAGAAAUGAUGCAAGCAAUGUAAAGGAUCAUGAAUAUACAACUUGGAUGAAAUGGAUGCAUGUAUGUGAUCAAAAGUUGAAUCAUAAUAGUUGUGUAGAUGUUUAGUUCCCUUUCUUUCACUCAUGGCUAUUGCUUACCCUCGUGUAAGCCGUUUGUGUAUGUUUCCGCUAGUGCACUUCUUUUUGAAAAUGUACAUGUGAUGAGCCUUGGGCGGACAGGGAAAACUCUGUCCGUUCGGCGUCUGUUUGACGUGCUCGGGCCGGCCCAAAUUGGUAUUGGUCCCGGGGCGUGACAAGGCUAGAGGACACCUUCGUUUGAGCUUACGAAGGGUUUCGAGACGGUUCGAUGGGUUUGACCUAGCUUAGCAUAUGAGAAAUUCUCAUAUCCUAUGUUUUAUGCUUCGUAAAGUUGAAAUUCAUGCAUUUUCAUGAUAAAUGUAAUUAUUGUGAAUUUUAGGAUGCUUAACAUGCCUAUAUUAUGUGUGAUGAAUUUUCGGACCUCUAUGUAGUAGAGAACUAGCAUGUGAAACUUGUACAUGAUUAGUAUCCCAUUGAGACUUGGAAUCAUAAUUCCUAUUGUGAAAAUGAGCAUUACUUUCCUGCAUUUAAAGCUAUGCCUAUUUGAGACUUAAAGGAUCUUAGCAAGCCAUAAAGGGGCUUGGGGACGUGUACUACUUGAGAAUAAUUGGGCUAAUGUCAUUAAGCGGCAUUAAGCUCGGGUCAUGUAUGAACCUAGUGUUGAGGUCACUAGUGGAAUAUUGAAUAGGUGGUGAGCUUAACCUAUAGCAAUGCUUAAGUGUCAUAAAGAGGCACUAAGCAUAGUGAGAGUUGGAACUUCACAUUGUGACAUUGAACUAGAUCUUUGAGAUGCUAGUGACUUUUACCAUGUUAGAGACAUGAUGAUUGGACUUUUGAGACGUUGACUACGCUUGCUUGCCAUUUGUGCUCAUUCGCACAUGCUUGUGAGGGUCGCUCCCUACAAGCCGGCACUCCGGAGUUGGCCUACGCGACUUAUGCUCGCUCGUGCGGUAUCGAGAAACCUACAGGGUCGGGAGGGAUAGACUCAUUCAUAGAGUGAGAAUGCUGGAGUUACCACCGACACUUAGGUGGCACAAGCUGGACUACACUAUGUAGGUCCUAGAACAUGUUGGAAACAAUGACAUUGAACGGGAAAUGGCAAUCACUACUAGAUAGGUUUAGUAGUUGGAUUACUUUAACAUGCUUAAAGCACAGUGUUAUGACAAGUAGUAUACUUGAUAGUUUACUUGUUGCAUCAUAGUAUACUUGGUUGCCAUGAUAGAGCAUAAUCAUCAUAUAUUGAUAGAACGCAUCAUGAUAUUUACUUGUGGCCAUGUUGGGACACAUUACUUGUGCGUUGGACAUACUUCAUUAUGGAAGAGUAAAUGAACAACACAUUGACAUCGUAAUGCUUAUGGUAUAGUAAGUCUAGUAAACAUACAUGCUUUCAUACCGCAGUUAUUAUUAUCAUCAUUGUUGCUUAUCGUACUUACCCUUUUCUUUUGUGGCCUAAUGAUACAUUGAGCUGAGGUCAGUAAUUGCCCACUGGGAACUAUAAAUUAUAGUUCUCACGUCCUCUGUUUUAUAUUUUUGUUUUCAGAGCCUUUCACGCCGGGAGAGGCUAGGGACCGCGGGAAAGGAAUUGCCUCGAGCUAGCUUGCUUUGAGGGACGUGUCGAUAGGUGGUCUACCUCUCGUUGUUUUCUUUUGGAGAUGUUGAGAGUUGUAUCCAUGUAUAGAGACCACCCUUUUGUGUACCUUUUUGGAGAUGGUUAUUGUAUAACUCUAUGUUUUACCUUUAUUGUUUAGUUACGCUUUAUUUACUUUUGUUACAGAUGAUAGAUGUAUAUUUGCUCUGAUAUCUCUAGUUGUAGAUCAUCUUUUGGUUUUAUUUUUCGCUGUUAUUGUAGACGCCUUAUAUGUGCUGACAUAUGGCGGGUCUGGGCGCGCCACCGGGAGGGCCUCCGCCGGUCCCAGGGCGUGACAAAUUAUUUCUUCACAAUCUCGUCCAACUGACACAGCCAAUGAACAUUAUCUUUUUAUAAAAAAACGGCUGCAAUACAGCAAACAAUCAAGUAUAUAUCCAAGCUUUCAAAUUAUAACAUAUUGUAACAAAAAAAAAAAAAAUUAAGUAUUUAUAUAUUUAUUUUCUUAAAACAAUUUUUUGGAAAAUUUCAAAAGAAAUUUGACAAAUAGCUUUGCAAAAUAACUUUAGAAAACUGUUUUCUAUCUAAACUCAACGAAAAACUCUACAGCUUUUAAUCAAAAUAAAUUAUCAAAGACUAAACCAAUUAUGCAAAAAUCGAUUAACAUUUUAAAUUUAUUUUCUUAAAACAAUUUUUUGGAAAAUUUCAAAAGAAAUUUGACAAAUAGCUUUGCAAAAUAACUUUAGAAAACUGUUUUCUAUCUAAACUCAACGAAAAACUCUACAGCUUUUAAUCAAAAUAAAUUAUCAAAGACUAAACCAAUUAUGCAAAAAUCGAUUAACAUUUUAAAUUUAAUUUAAUUAAAAAGAGUUAAUUAAAAAGGAAAAAAAAUAAGAUAAGCAAAUCAGAUUUCAAAAGUGGAAAGUAGUGUAGAAAAAAUAAGAACUCUACCGCUUUUAAACAAAAUAAAUUAUCCAAGUCUAAACCAAUUAUGCAGAAAUAUAUUAAAAUUUAAAAUUUAAUUUAAUUAAAAAGAGUUAAUUUAAAAAGUAGAAAAUAGUGCAAGAAAAAUAAUCAAUAAGGCAGUCUUUUCACUUAAGCAAAGAACAACUUAAAAGUUUAUAGGAUCGUAGAGCACAGAACCAAGGCUGUAGCAAAAAAAGAUGUAGAAAAAACGGCAACCACUAAAAAGGGUCAAUUGCUUUAGUUAAAUUCAACUUGUGAUUAUUAGAUAUCCUGUAUAAUGCUUCUUCACCUUUUUUUGACCAGUCCUUCGUAAAGCUUAAUUAUGUAAUUUUAGUAAAUUACUUUAAAUUCGAAAGAAUGAACUUUAUUACCAUAUACUUCUCUAUUCCCAUCUAGUUCUUCAAAUUUUCUUUUUCCGUAAUUCCUUUGACAGUAAUUCUGUUCUUUACUCUUUAUAUAUGCAUUCAAAUGUCAAACUCAAACUAUGCUAAGAUAAAAAACAUAAAGCAUAAGAAGAAGUAUACUAUGCUGUUGCCUCUCCUUCAUAUACAUAUUCAACAAUGCAUAAAAAUAAAACCAAAAAAAGAUUGGAGCAAAUAAGAAGAAAAAGGAAUUUGCAAAAAAUAAGAGAAGGAUGAAGAGCCAACAAACGCGUGCAAGGCAAGUGUUAAAAAAAAAAAAAAAAAAAUUGAAGUAUCGAAUGACUAUUUAUUUGGAGUACUAAAUUAAAACCUGACGAAAAGUACAGGAACCAACACUACAAUUUAUCCAAGGAAAAAAACAUUAUACAAUUUUGAGCCUAGGUAUUCUUCCCACCUCUUUCAACUGGAAUCGAUUUGGAGUAUUUACGCAUACCAAGGUUUGUAAGGUUUUCUUCCCAUUUCUUUCGACCAGAUUCUAUGUGGAGUUUCAUUCCACAGAAAGAUAAUUUCAAGUCAUAGGUAUUUAAAUAAAAAAUAAUUAGAAAAUAUAGUUAUGGAUCCUUCAAGUCAUAGGUCUUAAAUUAAUUCCCAUCAUGAAAGUCUUGGGACCCAACUUAACUGGUAAUAUGCCUAACUUUGUUGUAAGUUUCCAAGCAUUAUAAGCAAUCCCAAAACUCCCUUUCUUAUUAUCAUCAAAUUAUCUGCCUAAAUAUUAGAUUAUAGGAUUACUAAAAUUUAAGAAGUAUGCUCAUAAAUGCAAUGGCGUGCAACGGUACUCCUUGUAACGACAUAUGAUUUUAGAACAUAUAUGAUGUAUUGAGAAUUUUUUUCCUAACAAAUGGUGGCUACAACCAAUAAAUGGUAACCACUAACCAAUAGCAAUUGCCUUUACCUAAUCCCUGCCACUUAUCAUCAUAUAUAAAGCAAUUGCUAUAGCAUACAAAUUCCUUUUACCAAGUCCAUGUUUUCUUGACCAUAGACCACUUACCUGUUAAUUUACUUUUUCACUGUUUGCAUCAGUGACAUUUAAUUAUGGAAUAACUUUUCAUGAGCUUUUUGUAAGGACCUAAUUGCAUCAGUGACAUUUAAAGGGAAAGCAAAGCACUAUAUCUAUCUAUAAUCCACACAAUAAUUAAAUUAAAAUGAGAAUUAGUUGAAAUAAGUUCUAAACAUUUUUUUCUUUUUUAAAGGGGCUUUUGUUUUUAUAACAAUGGUUCUAUAGUUAUUUCACUAAACUUAAUUUACACCCUAAUUGCAACUUCAUUGAUCCAAACACCCCACAGGUUGGGCUUUUCUCAAUCAGGCUUAUGACCAUCAUGGAUAGUUAGGCUCGGGGCGGGCCAAUUGCGACUCAUACUUGAAUAGAUAUCAGAUGGAUUUGGAUCCAUCUAUUUGGCUAUAUGAUAUUUGGCUAUACUUGAAUAGAGAUUUCAAGAGAGUCCUGAUGUAACACACUGGACCUUUGCAAAUUGCGAGGUUCGAGUGUUUGGAUGUAUUUCGAGCUUUUCCACACUUUGUGGAGGGUUGUAGAAUAUUUUCCGACCUAAAAAGUUCGAAAACUGGAAUUCUGGACAAGUCCUGAGAGUUUUGACUCUCGGGGACCGGUCCCUGGAAGGAGAGACCGGUCCCCCAGUGAACAGUGUUGCGGCAGCCCUGAGGCAACCGGUCCCUAGCGGGCGAGACCGAUCCCCGAGCGCGCCUUCGCAGAGAGAGACCGGUCCCAUGCAGGGAGAGACCGGUUCCCGAACGAUAGUUUUUCGGGUUCGCAGCGAGAGACCGGUCCCUGCUGGGGAGAGAACAACCGGUCCCUUAGCGAAAACGCCCAGUCGGGCUGGGUUCGAUCUGUUGCAAUAUUGAUUUUUGAGGGGCCCUCCAGAUUUUGUUACACUUACUAUGGUCUAUUAGCCAUUUCCUCUCUUCCCUCUCUCAUUUCUCCUCAUUCUCAAGACACCUCUCCCCCAACUUUCUUAGAGCAAAGAAAAGGAAGAAGAGGAGAUAAGAAGAAGAGAGCUAUCCCCCCCGCUUCGAGAGCUUGUAGCCUGCCACCCCUUCUCUCUUUCCCCACCUUUGUCAAGGCUUGGAGCUUGCUUGUGGGUUUUGGUGUGACCAAACUUCCAACCUUCUCUAGGGGCAUUUUUGAGCUUGGAUAGAAGCUUUCCAAGGGUAGUACAUCAUUUUUCCAACCCCCCCCCAUCCUCUCUAGAUUCUUGUUUUAGGUGAUUUUGGGAAAUGAAUUCCCUAUAAAUCCAGCAUUUUAAGGUUUGAUAUUGGGGCUUUUUGACUAGUUUGAAGGCUAGAUUAAAUUGGGCUUAUAGCACCUUCAUUGGGGCUUCGGAUUUGGUGAAGGGUUCUAGCUCUCCUUUGUCGGAACUUUGGAAGAGAUUUCUUCUCUGAGGUACUUUGGUCCCUUUACUUAUAGGUUACUGUUGAUCUUAUGUUGCCUCGUCACAGCCCCUCGUAUCCUCUUCGCUGAUUACUUUAGGAGUAUUUGAAGACUGCGGGGCACUGAACUGUUUCGGUCGAAACGAACCCUACCGCGACGUGCGGUGGUUGACCUAGCCACACAAUGAGAAUUCUAUUUUGCUUAAUUAAAGUAUUGUUAAAUGGAAACAUCAUGCAUAUUCUAUAUGUAAUUAUAUAUUCGUGAAUUUAGAUAAAUCUUCAAGGACCUUAUGUUGUAUAAAGAUGAAAUUUGUGGACCUACUAUGGAGUACCAGAGUAACUUGGUAGGCUGAUGAGUAUAUAUUAUAGCGUUCAAUAUGAAACUUGUUCAUCCUUACAAAUAAGUGUAUAUAGCUUUGAUUCAUAAAUUUAAACUUAAUUUAUACUAGACAUGAAAGAUGCAAAUUGCCAUAUAAGGUAUUGAACUAAAUUAUGUGAACUAAGAGAGCUAUAUGUCAUCAAGCGGCAAUUACUCAGCGGACAGUCCGGCAUGGCUGAACCUAGUGGAUAGGGCAUUGAAGGAAAGUGUGAAACAAUGCUUAAUAUUAAAUGUCUAAGGUUCAUAACCGGCACUAACCCUAGAGAAAGUUACUUCGCUGUUUGGAUCAGAGUUACCCUAUGUGCAUUGACAUAUUGCAUGAUCGUGAGUUACUUGUUAUGUAAAUUUGAGACAUAUUAGUCAAUCAUCGGAUAUAUUUAACCUAUAUGAUAGCAACGUAAAUUACAUCACCAUGACUCCAUGCUUUAUGGAGACCUAGUAGUAAUACCCCAUUUCAUUUGCAUACUCUUCUUUCAGCAGGUUUCAUGUUCGCUAUUUUUUAAAUUCGACCCGCAAGAAUAUUACUAUAAUUCAUUAUUUACCUUUCUCUUGGCUAGUCGUGCCAUUGAGCUUCGAGUCAGUAAUUGCCCACUGGGAACUAUAAAUUAUAGUUCUCACGCCCUCUUUUUCUCGAUGUUUUUCAGAGCCUUCCACGCAGGGUGAGGCCGGGGAUCGCGGGAAGGGAGUUGCUUCGAACUAGCUUCCUUCGAGGACGAGUCGCUAGGUGCUCCACCUCUCGAUUUAUGUUUUAUUUUGCGAGAGGUUGAGCGUUUACCAGUGUACUAGAGACCACCAUUUUUGUACAUUUGAGACAGAUAUUGUACUUCUUAUGACUCCUUUUACUGUCUAGCUUACUUCAUUACCUUGGUGUAGAUGAUAGAACUAUAUUUGCUCUGAUAUCAUUAGUUGCUAGUUAUCUCACUUCUUCUACUUGUUUUAUUACUUGCUUUUACUUCCGCUUUUCUUGUAGACACCUUAUAUGUGUAGACAUAUGGCGGGUCUGGGCACGCUACCGGGAGGGCCUCCGCCGGUCCCGGGGCGUGACAUCCGCAGACAGUCCCGGGUUUGGGUGCACUUGGAGCUCCCUCCCCACUUUGGGAUUGAAAGAUGAGUUAUUGGCGAACCCUAGGGCUUCGCUACAGAUUGGGUAAAAGAACAGUGAACAAUGUCAUUGAACAUUAUUAUUUGAACAUGGAUCGAAUUCGUUAGCAUGAUAGUAAACCUUUACUAUUUGAUGCAUGGUAUGAGUUUUAGUUGCAUCCCAGUUGAGUGGAUUUAGGGCUGAGGUGCAUGUGAGACAUCCUUCACCUUGAGCCUGGCUUUGUGCGGUAUUCCGCGUAUGAUUGACUCAAGAUCGAGUCGAGUGGAUAGCUUAUGAAAGCAGGUUAAACCUUAUGAGCAGAAUCGUAAUUGACAGGAAUCUAAGAUAGAGGAAAACUUAGAAGUCAAUUGGUAGAACUGUGAAUAAUAGGAAUAAAAGUAGUAUCGAUUGAACUAUUAGUUGGUUGCAUGGUUGCAUAAACUGCAUGAAUUUCAUAUUGCAUUUUGUGAGGCACAACAUGUAUUUCAAUACUUGAAUAUAUAUAUCUGUUGGAUAUCUGUUGGACUAACAUGUUGCAGGGCCUCCUUAGACCUAUUGGUCGAGCUUUUCCCUUGGGUGGCCGUACCCACUGGGAACCAUGGAGUUGGUUCUCACCCCACGUUGUUUUGGGGUGUUACAGGUUCGCACGUGAGCGGCGCGGCGGCNNNNNNNNNNNNNNNNNNNNNNNNNNNNNNNNNNNNNNNNNNNNNNNNNNNNNNNNNNNNNNNNNNNNNNNNNNNNNNNNNNNNNNNNNNNNNNNNNNNNNNNNNNNNNNNNNNNNNNNNNNNNNNNNNNNNNNNNNNNNNNNNNNNNNNNNNNNNNNNNNNNNNNNNNNNNNNNNNNNNNNNNNNNNNNNNNNNNNNNNNNNNNNNNNNNNNNNNNNNNNNNNNNNNNNNNNNNNNNNNNNNNNNNNNNNNNNNNNNNNNNNNNNNNNNNNNNNNNNNNNNNNNNNNNNNNNNNNNNNNNNNNNNNNNNNNNNNNNNNNNNNNNNNNNNNNNNNNNNNNNNNNNNNNNNNNNNNNNUGGAUGGGAUUACCUAGCUUAAUUUCUUUUUGUUCGAGUCCUACUCAGGGACGUUUUCUAGGCUCGUUUCUAGUGACGCCUAGUACUACCACCACUAAAAGUUCACCUACUAGUCCCUAACUAUUUUAAGCCGCUAUCCGAAACACACGGUCGUCUAAGUCUAUAAUUUCUCCUCUAAGAUUGACUUCGUGUAGCCCGUGGCAUAUGAAAUGUGGGGCCCUCAUGUUUUUACAUAUUUCUAGACUUUAACUGAAUGACCACCGGACCUUACUUUUUCUUUCAACGACUAAAACACCGGUCUACGAAUUGGACAGUCGUCCAAUUCCGAUUUGUAGCUGAAGGACGUCCCUUUGAUGUUUCAAAUGGGUAUGGUCACACCUUCACCCUCUCCUAAUGAUACCUAAAAUAACAACCUAAUGGAGCGAGAGUUCGUCCAAUACUACGUUAAACCCAUUAACACCUAUCUAACUGAUUUAGGCGGGUGAAGUAAGGUUAAGUAUGUCACACCAGCCCCCUUUCUGAGCGUGUUCACAUAGAACUACUUUAACACGCUAAUGUGCCUCAAGGACAAAGAUAACAAAGUCUAGCUCUGUGGGCUAAACAGAGUGUAAAGACCUUCUUUAACACACUAAUGGAUCGUUACAGAUCUGUAACGAUCCCCGUACGAUCAACUAGUGGAACGAUGAGCCCGAUACCGGCUCCCACUACAGGGAUACAUAUCUCUCUGGUGGUAACAUGGAUGAACAACAUAUGGGGUACUACAUAGUCAACCCUAUGGGAGAACCAACAACUCUAAAACCCUAACAAUGAUGCACUACUAAUGACAUAAGUCGCCAAGGCGUGUCAGGAGCUACAACUUCCAAAUUCAACUGCUCCAUUUCCUUUACCAACAAUGGUUGCAUGGUUAUCGCCAUCGCCAAAUUUUCCGUCGAUUUUCGACUUAAAGCAUCUGUUACGUACAACAGUAGCUUUUCCUGGAUGAUAAAGGAUAGUCAAAUCAUAAUCCUUGAGCAACUCCAACCAUCUACGUUGUCGCAAGUUUAAUUCCUUCUGAGUAAACAGAUACUUUAAGCUUUUAUGAUCUGUAUAAACUUCGCAACGCUCGCCGUAGAGGUAGUGGCGCCAAAGCUUUAAAGCAAAUACCACAGUUGCUAACUCCAAAUCAUAUGUAGGGUAGUUCUUUUCAUAAUCUUUCAAUUGACGAGAUGCAUAAGCAAUUACUCUACCAUUCUGCAUUAGAACACACCCUAAUCCAUUCAGCGACGCAUCACUGUAAAUUACGUAAUCCAUUCCAGUAACGGGCAGUGCUAGAAUCGAGGCGGUAGUCAACCGUUCCUUUAGCUCUUGAAAGCUUCUUUCGCAGGCUUCAUUCCACAGAAACUUAGCCCCUUUAUGUGUCAGUCGGGUAAGUGAUGUAGACAUCUUUGCAAAUCCCUCUACAAAUCUUCGAUAGUAUCCUGCCGAACCAAGGAAACUUCGAAUUUCUGUAACACUGGUCGGCCUAGGCCAAUCUUUAAUCGCUUCAAUUUUCUUGGGAUCCACAGCUAUCCCAGCCUCUGAAAUGACAUGGCCCAGAAAUGCUACUUCUCGAAGCCAAAAUUCACAUUUCUUUAACUUUGCAAACAAUUUCUUUUCGCGAAGUACUUGCAACACCGUUCUCAAAUGACUUUCAUGCUCCUCGUCACUUCGAGAGUAGAUCAGAAUAUCGUCGAUAAACACGACCACAAAUCUAUCCAGAUAGGGCUUAAAGACACGGUUCAUUAAAUCCAUAAAGGCUGCUGGGGCAUUUGUUAAUCCAAAUGGCAUAACUGUAAAUUCAUAAUGCCCAUACCGUGCCCUAAAAGCAGUCUUGGAGACAUCUUCUGGUUUAAUCUUAAGCUGAUGAUAACCUGAUUGCAAAUCAAUCUUGGAAUAUACCUUCGAUCCUUGCAACUGAUCGAAUAAAUCAUCAAUUCUGGGUAAUGGAUAUUUAUUCUUGAUUGUGACUUUGUUGAUUUCUCGAUAAUCCACGCACAAUCGAAGAGAUCCAUCAUUCUUCUUAACAAAUAACACCGGUGCUCCCCAAGGUGACACACUCGGUCGAAUGAAUCCUUUAUCUAAAAGAUCUUGUAACUGUGCCUUCAGCUCUUUCAAUUCAACGGGUGCCAUCCUAUAGGGUGCUUUCGAGAUAGGAGUUGUCCCAGGGGCAAGAUCAAUCACAAACUCCGAACUCCCGCACAACUGGGAUAUUAUCAAUCUUGAUGGCUUCACCACCACUCACAGAAAUACUAGCCAAAUAGGCUACACAACCUCUCCGAAUCAACUGUCGGGCUCGCGAAGAGCUAAUAGUCAUUGCGAACAAUGAACUCUGACACCCUUUAUAAACAAACUCCUGCUGACCUGGUUCCCUAAAGGUCACCGUCCUGUUCGUGCAAUCUAUGGUGGCAUAAUACCGUGUCAACCAAUCCAUACUCAAUACUACAUCAAACUCACCUAGUUUGUGUAGUGCUAAUAAAUCCACUGGCAUAAUCCAGUCGCUUACCCUAACUGGGCAGCGAGGGAAAAACUCACAAACAUCAAGGGUAUGGUCAGGUACAAUCACUCAUCCAAGAUGCAAAGUAGGUACUACCUGAAUGCUAUGCAACUCGGCGAACUGCCGAUCAAUAAAAGAAUGCGAAGCACCAGUAUCAAAUAAUGCACGAACAUGAAUAUCAUAAAGCAUAAUGAUACCUGCUACGACCUCCUCUGAUGCUGCGGCGCCCUCAGUCUGGGCGGCAUACAUGCGCCCACUCGAACCCUGUCGAGAACUCUCAGACUGCCACUGUCCCGGUGGUCGUCUGUAGUGCGAGGGUGCUGACGGGGUCCCCUGGCUCGGAGCUGAAGAUGCAGGGGCUGAUGCCGAUGAGGGUGUAGGUGAAGAACCUCUCGGGCACUCUGAACGAAAGUGGCCCUCCUGACCACAAAGGAAGCACCUGCCUCCACGUUGUGGACACUGUAGUGGAAAGUGAGGCCCACCACAAAUGACACAACGUGGUUGUCGACGACACUCGGGUGCUCCACGGGGUGCUGAAGAACCUCGACCUCUCGACUGGCCCGGCUGGCCCCUCGGAUACUUUGGCGGUCUCCUGAAGGGUUGCUGACCACUGCUCUCAGCUGCUGGCCUCUUCCCUUUGCUCCGAUCCACAAUAUCUCUUUCUUUCAUAAUCUCUGCCCCCUUUUCCACAAUCAAGGCCCGGUUCACUACAUCCCUGUAAGUAGAGAGGUUUGACGUCUGGACCAAUCUGAAAUCGCAGGUCGCAAACCCACCUCAAAUAUGCGAGCCUUGUCCUCAUCAUCUCGAACCAUAAAAGUAACACAGUGCAGCAAUCGGGAAAACUCUCGCUCAUACUCCGCUACUCUCCUGUCCCCCUGCCUCAGGUUUCUCAGGUCCCUUUCCAUUUGCCUCUUUAUACUCUGGGGAAAGUAGGUCGUCAACAGUAAGUCCUUGAACCUGUUCCAUGUGAUAGCGAAUAAAUCAGUACGGGGAUCCUCACGAAUGUCCACCCACUACCUGUAAGCCUCGCCGUCAAGGUGGUGCGUCGGAAACCAAACUCGAUAUCGCUCCUCGACGAAUGUAUCAUAGAAUAGCUUCUCCAUGUGCAUUAGCCAUUUCUUGACCACCCAGUGAUCUGCUUUCUCCCCGUCAAAGAUACGAGGGGUGCAACGACGGAACUCAUUCAAUUGUUCCAUCAUCUGCUCUCGCUCCUCAGCCCCCACCAUCUCGGGUAACACUGUCCCUGAUGCUGCUACAGGUACUGGUGGCGGUACUACUGUCUCCUGUCAGGUCUCGGCCCUCGGAGCUACUGGGGGUGUGUCAAGUACAGGUGACUGUGCUCUCACUGUCGCAUCCCUGUCCGGUACUGUAGGUAUAGGAUCCGGAAUGUCCUUGUCAGUCGUCUGCCGUAGUAGUAAAUUCUCUAACCUCUUCAUCCUGUCCUCCUGUCGACGUGCGGCAUCCAUCUGCUGUCGCGUGGCCGCAGCCUGCUGAGCAACCAAAUCUGUCAGCUUCGCGAGCUGAUCCUGCAACUCAUGGAUCCCACUAGAUCCCGAAGUAACCGAAGUUCCCACUUCCUCUGCAUCCGCCGCCUCAGCUGCCCCGGCGGCUUGCGAACGAGUCAAAGGCAUCUUGAGCUGCAGCACCAAACAAAUAUAGAUUAAUAAAACCUAUACUACUGAACCCUCAUUGAGGAUAAAAACCAACUAAUCAAGCGAAAGUAAUGAAAUGUAACGCGUACUAACUUCCAAUGUCACGUUGUCGGCCGCCAACGUGACCUUCUGCAAAGUUAGUAAUUGCACAUUCCGAUCAAACCCCUACUAUUCGGAGUUUAUAAAUACCCAAUCCAAGUACUUUCACUAACAACAACCUCGACUAGACCUCGUCUCUCACGAGCCUAUUCUUAUAGUCCAACCAGCCUAAGGUUUAUUAGGUCUACUAAGACUCAACCCUAGGCUCUGAUACCACCAUAAUCUGUCACGCCCGGGUAUCAGCGGAAGCAUAUCCGGUACGUGCACAGACCCGCCAUACACCUGCAGUAUAUAAGGCGUCUACAAGAAACAAGUCGAUAGGAGUACAAGCAUAAAAUAACUCUAUCCAGAUAUCAGAGCAUAGAAAAAGUCACAAGGACUAACAACAAUAGAACAAAGAGUAACAAUCCCAAAAUCUCAACAACCAAGAGGGUAUCCCAACUGAUACAUCAUGGGGUAUACAACAAGUAGGUACAAUGGUGGUCUCUCUAUACAUAGGGACAUCACCCUCGGCCAUAGCCCGAGUAGCAAGGUGAUCAACUAGCAUGCCCCUAGCAAUGUCUAGCUAGAUGCAACUCCCUUGCCACGAUCCCUAGCCUUUCCUGUAGAUGGCUCUGUAAAAAAUAGCAACAAAAAGGGCGUGAGAACUAUAAACAAUAGUUCCCAGUGGGUAAGCCGCCAGCCUCGGCGAAUUACACCACUGGGCUCAUGAUGUACUAAAUGAGAACAAAAAUAAUAAUUGCAUGAUAAUAAGCAUGAUAUUAAGCAUAUAGUCAACAUGUAGUAACUUUCUACAGUAAUGAAUCAUUUGCAUAAGAGAGAUAUCGCAACUUUUAUAAUCAUGAACAUAAACAUGAAUAUAUGCAUGAAUGUGAAGUGACUACUGUACACUUUUACUAGUAAUCAUUCAUUACCGUCCUUUGUCAUUUAGUACUUUCACCUCAAUAGAAUUUUCCUUUCAUUCAUCAGGACCUACCCCAGGUAGUCCGGCUUGCACCGUGCCUAAUGGCCCCGUGGUAGUAUACACUCCCCAUGGCAAUCCACUUCGGCACCCAAUCCCGCACGGGCGAGCAACUGUCGCGUAGGCCAACUCCGGAGUGCCGGCUUGUAGGGAGCUACCCUCACAAGCAUGUGCGAAUGAGCACAAUGGCAAGCAAGCAAAAUUCAUAGUCCAACAUAUUUCAAACAUCAUGGUAUAGUAUGCUAUGUUUUACUCUCGAUCUAUUGAUCGGAAUUCUCAAUAUAAAGAAUGUAGACAAUAACUAGCAUCCACUAGGUUAGUAAGCAUGCAAGGAUAAUGCUAAUUUACAUAUGGCAUUAGGAUCUUUCACUAUCAUGGCACUAUCAAUCAAGGCACAAGUAUGUCAUUGUUGUCUACUUUACAAACAAUAAAGUCAACGAAUGUCAUUGUCCUCUACUUUAUAGGAACAUAAUAAACUUAUCUCUCGGUUGUUCUACUGAACGAAACAAGAAUACCUCUAUUCAUAAAUGUUCCCUACUUUAUAGAGAUUCUAUUUCAAUCAUAUGGCAGUUCUAUAUUAACCACAAUUGUGCACACUUAUAUGGAUUCUAUAAUACAUAUAGAACAUAGGGGAGCUUCACUUGCUCUGGUUAGAUCAAACCCACCUAUUUCUAAGCUCCAAACAGUCCAAAGGAAGUCCCAAAUUCGGCUCAACGAAGCCCCACUGCUGCUGAAAACAAGGUACGAGAGUCGAGUCAAUACUAUAACCGAAAUAUCCAAUUUCGGUACAAUUCGCACUUAAAGCAAAGUAGGAAUUUAAUUCCCUGUUUAGGGCUAGUUUGAUACCUCAAAUUAUGCUUCCAAAAGGCCCUCCACUGCCAACCAAAGUCGGUCCAAGGGUCAAAUGCCCUCUCGCUGCGAACAAAACCGAAACGGCGUCAAGAUGCUUGUAUAUAAGCUAUAUUAGUCGAAAUCUAGAAAUUUCAGUUUUCUAGCUGAACUUCUUGCUCACCUCAAAGUAGAACACUUUCUAAACCAGCCUCCCAGGUCACCAAAUAAGCUUCAUGUGGUUCGGAAACCUGCUGCUGUAAGGAAGUGAAUUCUCGAAAUAUGAGGAUUGUACUUCAUCCAGGAUCGACUGAUUGUCGAAAGUAAACCCUUUGGGGGAGUCGAGAAUGUCCAAAGCACAAAGAGUGCCUUGGAGUUGAGUCCGCGAGAGCAAAUGAGGCAAAUGGCAUCAUUGGGCAGAAGUUGCUCUCGGGGACCGGUCUCUGCAGGUGAGAGACCGGUUCCCUCGGCUGGGUGUUGCGGGGUUGCGUGAUGCAACCGGUCCCUGGUGGUGAGGGACCGGUUCCCGAACGUGGCCCCAGCGUGAGAUGCCAAAAAUUGGCUAAGUCCUGAAAAUCAAGCUCUCGGGGACCGGUCUCUCAGGUGAGGACCGGUCUCCCGAGGACCGGUCUCCCGGGAAGAGACCGGUUCCCGAACGCGUGCGCCCGAGGGAAGCUCUCGGGGACCGGUCCCAAGUCGGGGAGACCGGUCCCUCCGCGCGAAAACUGCCCAGUAAGGGCAGUGCACAGGGGUGAAAGUUGCAGGGACUUUUGUUGGCAAAAUGGCAUUUAUUUGAGUGGCUGAGCCCUCUCUCCCUCACACUCUCUCAUUUCACCUCUCAUCUCACUCUCAUUUCCUCUUGCCUCUUCUAUCUCUAGAAAGGAAAGAAGAGAAAAGAACAAGAAGGAGAGGAAGAAAAGAAAAAAGGGAAGAUAAGGAAGAGAAGAAAAGACGAUCAAGAGGAAGGCUUUGAGCCACCUCCAUCCCCUCUCCUCUUACCAUUGGAGUAGCUCUUGAGUAACUACUAAACCCUACUGCUUCUAGAACUAGUUUUAUGGGUUAUGCCUUGGAAUGGUCAAAUGGACCCUAAGCAACUGUCUAAUAUGAUCAAUCCCCAAGAAUCUAGGGAUUAUGGGUGGUUUGCAAUGCAAAUCUAGGGUUCCAAAAUGGGGUUUUUGUAAAGUAUGAGAUGAUCCAUCAUUGAAGCAUUGAAAAAACCUAAUUGAUAGGUCUCAAAAACGUCGGGGUGAGUCGAUUUUGGCAUUACGCGAACCGAACGUGAAGUCUCGGGCAAUCGUUGGGUAGUGUUGAUUCGGCGCGGAAAGCAAAGCCUUUUUGCGAAACUCCCGCGAAAAGAAUUUCCCAAAGCCAUUAACAUUGAUAGAAAAAAAGUGGGGCUGGUCAUCCGACAACAAAUUCGAACCCUUUCCUAUUCUUAACGAAUUAAGCAUUAAUCUCACAUCUCUUACAUGUUCAUUAGGAUUGAUAGUAGCUCCAAAUAUCUAAAUAAUAACCUAAAGUGUUACUGGAACAAAUGGUAACUAAGAUAUAGGAUUGGAACGCUGGAUCCUAUGAUGCUAGAGAUAGAGAUGAACCAAAAUUGAGACAUAAAGAAACGAGUGUUAUGUCGGGAAAGAAAAUCAAACUAGGACCAUCUCCAAACAUGAAUGAAACGAUGGCAUUAACUAUGUAAUAAACACAGAGGUCGAUGGACCAGGGAACACUCACUCUCUAGAAAAUGCCUUGUGAACAAAUGAAUUAAACUAAAAUCAUUGCAGAAGUCGGAAACCUAAUGAUUCCGCGAUACUCGGCCUGUCGAUUGGUUAUGACUUCUAGUUGAAGAGUGGUCCUCACUGGGCUAUGUAUACCACACAACCAUACCAAUCCCACAUGCAAGAGGGGAAUUGUCGUCGGAAGGAGUACUCCGGCAGUUCGCGUGACUAGGAAACGCAAAAAAAGAGUCGCCAGACGUACCCGCUGGGGCACCUUGGAGCUCCCAAAUAAACCCAACCACUUUGGAUAAUCAUAUAGGCAACGCCACCAGAUUGGGUAAGAUGAAAUAAGCUAAGGUUAUAAAGUCAUUGAGCAUACUAAAACAUUAAAACGAGACUUAUUAUAUACAAGAUAGAAACAUAGUUUUCCUACUAUAGCAUUUACAGCUUUCAGAUACAUAUCUAUCUAUCUAUCUGUUGUUACUUGUGCCCACUUGGACCUAGUGGGGAGAUCGGCAGGGUCGGCGGCCGAGCCCACUGGGAACUAUGGAAGAUAGUUCUCACCCCACUCUAUUUCCAGUGGUAGGUUCAGGGCUGCAGAGAGAGGACCGCGGCAAGGGCGUCGCGCCCGACCAGUGAGACCGUGGUAGUAUAGUAGCUUUCCUUUUGCAUUAGUCACCUAUGUAUUGAGAGAGAUUCUUGUAGGUGAGGUUGGAGAGCUAUGUAUUUUGGAUGAAAAAUGAUGUAAUGAAUGUAACUAAUGUAAUAGUUAGUAAAGUACUAUCUUCAUUUCACUCGUAUAUCUUGUGGAUUACUUGCUCUUCUCGUUGUUGGCACUGUUGGUGCCCUUGCUGAAUGUGUAUGUUUAGAAUUUAAAAUCCUGGGUAAAUUCCUAUACACAUUCCUGUGCUUGAGCCUUGGGCGGACAGAGGAGGUGCUGUCCGUUCGGCGGUCUGUCGCCGCGGCCGAAUCGUGCCAAAUGGGUAGUGGUUUCGGAGCGGGGCGUGACAGCUGCGAAGGUACAAUUCCCAAACUGCAUCAAUUACCCGAUUAAGUUUCAUUUAGGUCCAAAAUAGCUUCACAACGACCAAUUACCUUAUCCAAGUGUCAAAGCAGCUUAUCCCUGGUGUAAAGUGAAUAAUUCACAGCUAAUUAGGUCACCUUGAGCUGCUGAAAUCCACCACCAACUCUGCUGGGAGUAACAAAACCAUAACAACUCAAAAUCCACUACUUAACUUUCGAUUAACGAAGGGUUUAAGCGAUUUACCUUUCUAUAGCUGCGACCAAGCUUUCAUGAGGUUAAGAUCACAGAAAAAUCAGUAUAAAUCCUCCCUCCCACGUUCCAAAGACUUCCCCCAAGUCUUCCAACCAGCGAGUAACGAGCUCGGCUCGAAAUCGGCGCGAAACGGUGAAUUUCCCUUAGAGAGAGAAAAACCCUAGAGAGAGGAAGUAAGGAUGGUGUAAGAACCUUGCUCUGAGCUCACAAGGCCUUCCAGCAACUUCAGGGUCGACCAAAUAUCUCAGGGGAUAAGAUCAUAAGCCAAAAAGACCAAACAAUCCCUGCUGCCACGCAGCUGCUGCUGCUGCUGCUUGCUGUACCGGUACAGCAUUAUUCCUGUACCGGUACACAAUGCAAAAAUCUGCCCAAUGCACUGAAGUAAUGCACUUUCCUAUCUCCGGCAAUCCGAUCACUCUCUAACUUGUCCAAGAACUUAUCCAAACCUUUUAGAACCUGUUGGAUAGUUCCACAACUGAUGCCACACACUCGAACUCCGCAAUUUGCAAAAGUUCAGUGUAUUACAAUUUGGAAGAAAAUGUAAUGUAAUAAUGCUAAAUGUGAUGUAAAAAUGAAUCUAAUGGGAAUGCUUGUAAUAACAUAGGAUGCGUUAUGUUGUUUGAUACCUUCCUUAUGCAAUCUUGCUUGAAUACUGUUCCUGGUUGGAACUUCUUGUACUUGUAUUGAUUGCGAAGCCUAGGACGUACAGGGGAGACUCUGUUCGUUCGGCGGUCUGUCGGCGGCGCCGCGACCUCGGCCAAAUAGGCGGGUGGUCGCGGGUCGUGACAGAUAAUAGUGGUAUCAGAGCAUAAAGUAGAGAAUGGGAAAUGGUUUAGAUGGACCUAGGAGACCCUAGGAUAGUAAACCAUAGGAGAAUAAGGCUCGUGAGAGACGAGGACUUGUGACUUAUGGCGAAAGAUUGAUCAAUUGGGUCAGGUUAGUAAACCUCUAAAACGGAUGUUAGAGGUAGACUCGAGGUGUGGUUUAUUCUCAACCGAGGGUGUUCAUGUUGGGUAUACACAAUAUGAAACCGAGUGAUGAGAAUAGGCACCCUUGCAUGACUUUCGCCCGAUUCUAGUUGGUGUCAGUUGUUUCGCGCUCGACCUUGAGGGUCGAGAAUCGACCGAGUUGUCGUGUCUUAGGAAGCGAUAGCACCACGUAGGCGAUCUUAAUCUAGGUCGGCGCGGGAUGGGACGAGUGAUGUCCCUAAGCAAUCCAAAAUGAGCGGAGACUUGGGACUUCGCGAGUGAUUGGCCACUCUCGUGUGAGUGGCAGGGUAAUGCCUCAGCGGAGACCUUGGCCAGACGUGGUCGAGGUUGUUCACGUAAGGAAGUGAAUUCUCGAAAUUCAAGAGUUGUGCUUCGUCCAGGAUUGACUCUUUGUCGAGUGAGUAUCCUUCGGAAAAGCUAAAGAUAUCCAAAACACAAAAAGUGCAUUGGUAACGUGUCCGCGAGAGCAAAUUUGCAAAAAUCUAGACUUAGCAGAUUUUGCUCUCGGGGACCGGUCCCUGGAAGGGAGGACCGGUCCCCGUAGCUGAUGGUUGCGGGGGAGGCUGAUGCAACCGGUCCCUAGCUGAGGGGACCGGUCCCCGUAUGCGACACCAGCGAGAGAAGGGCAAAGAAAGGCUAAGUCCUGAAAAUUCAGCUCUCAGAGACCGGUCUCUCAGGAAGGACCGGUCGCCCAGGGACCGGUCUCUCGGGUGGGGACCGGUUCCCGUACGCGAAAGGUCCCCAGGCCGCGGGGAGGGCUCUCGGGGACCGGUCUCCCCAACGAGGGACCGGUCCAUCUGGGCGCAGAAUGCCCAGUGAGGGCUGUGCACAAGGAUGAAAGUUGAGGGGCUUAUUUGCAUUUAUGCAACACGUGGGGCUAUGUGAGGAGUAUGAGAGCUCUUUUCUCUCAUUUCUCACCCACACACCCUCUCAUAUCUCUCUUUUUCUCUCUAGAAGACAAAAAGAGGAAGAAGAAAGGAAAGAAAAGAAAGAGAAGGAGAAGGAGGUCUUCCUCAUCUUCUUCAUCUUCUCCUUGGUUGGAGCUUCUUGGAGAGGUAAGCUUCUAAGCUCUCUCUCAUGGUGGAUUUCUAGAGAUAGGUUUGAUUGCUCUCGAAAUGGAGUUUUGUGUUAUCUGAGGGCGUAGUACCUGCCAGUACAGGUAUAGAGCCAGAUGGCACUAGCGAAGUGCUAGAAGUAAUCUAUGGCGAGAAGUGAGACUCGCGGUAGAGAUAGAAGUGGCGAAACGACUCUCAGAGCAAUAUGAGUAGUAAAUUGCGAGAGUUGAGCCAUGAUGCUUAUGAGAACACCCGAGUAGUCCGAAAAUUUCGGAUGUCAUUCCGAUAGAUCGAACAG